GACGAACGCUGGCGGCGUGCUUAACACAUGCAAGUCGAACGGAAAGGCCCUGCUUUUGUGGGGUGCUCGAGUGGCGAACGGGUGAGUAACACGUGAGUAACCUGCCCUUGACUUUGGGAUAACUUCAGGAAACUGGGGCUAAUACCGGAUAGGAGCUCCUGCUGCAUGGUGGGGGUUGGAAAGUUUCGGCGGUUGGGGAUGGACUCGCGGCUUAUCCGCUUGUUGGUGGGGUAGUGGCUUACCAAGGCUUUGACGGGUAGCCGGCCUGAGAGGGUGACCGGCCACAUUGGGACUGGGAUACGGCCCGAACUCCUACGGGAGGCAGCAGUGGGGAAUAUUGCACAAUGGGCGGAAGCCUGAUGCAGCAACGCCGCGUGCGGGAUGACGGCCUUCGGGUUGUAAACCGCUUUCGCCUGUGACGAAGCGUGAGUGACGGUAAUGGGUAAAGAAGCACCGGCUAACUACGUG
Molecule: ribosomal RNA, 468 nt
Filed under: uncultured bacterium
Lineage: Bacteria
Description: partial 16S ribosomal RNA
Rfam family: Bacterial small subunit ribosomal RNA
Source: RNAcentral